UAUAACAGAAGGAAAGGCUUCAAGCUAAUGACACCCUUUAAUAAAGGUCUGGUCACUUGGGGUAUACCGUGGAUUUAUCAUCAAGAAGAGCAGAAUCCUGGCAUGAAACUUUAAUGUCAACACAUAUAAGAAAAAGUUUGCUGAGCUAGAAGCGGUGGCUGAAGCCUAUAAUCCCAGCACUUUGGGAAGCUGAGGUGAGCAGAUCACUUGAGUCCAGGAGUUUGAGACC
Long non-coding RNA from Pan troglodytes (chimpanzee), 229 nucleotides. RefSeq lists it as uncharacterized. The transcript has 3 exons. The record is from RefSeq and is a predicted model, not a curated record. Lineage: Eukaryota; Metazoa; Chordata; Mammalia; Primates; Hominidae.